Molecule: unclassified non-coding RNA, 205 nt
Filed under: root metagenome
Description: partial contains small subunit ribosomal RNA, internal transcribed spacer 1, and 5.8S ribosomal RNA
Source: RNAcentral
UCUCCGUUGGUGAACCAGCGGAGGGAUCAUUACCGAGUUUACAAACUCCCAAACCCUUUGUGAACCUUACCAUAUUGUUGCUUCGGCGGGACCGCCCCGGCGAGGGGGUGCCUGCCGCUGGCCAACCAAAAAUUCUAGCUGUUUUUGUACCAUCUGAGUCUUCCACAAAUAAACAAAACUUUCAACAACGGAUCUCUUGGUUCUG